Molecule: long non-coding RNA, 812 nt
Filed under: Solanum tuberosum (potato)
Lineage: Eukaryota; Viridiplantae; Streptophyta; Magnoliopsida; Solanales; Solanaceae
Description: long non-coding RNA (STUB_LNC006025)
Rfam family: mir-172 microRNA precursor family (bases 167-279)
Source: RNAcentral
UGAGAAGGAAUUUUGUCCCAAUCUUAUGGAGGAUGAUGGAUUAAACGUAUGUAUGAUUGAUGACAUACUUUAACACGUACAAAUUCAAAAUUUAAAGUCAGUGAAUUUUCUGACUAUGUUAUCGAAUUUAAUUUUGAUAUUGUAGCUUUGCCUCAACAUACAGUUGUUGCUUGCUAGUGCAGCACCAUCAAGAUUCACAUAGAAAAUAUGGACUAUGAAAUGAAAUAUGCCCAAUUUUUGAAUACAUGAGAAUCUUGAUGAUGCUGCAUUGGCAAAUUGAUGACUUGAUUCUUUAAUUCUACAAGAAAAUUUGGGCAAUUUAUCUUUAUUUGGUAAGUUUUCUUUUGGACUAUGAUUAAUUCUAUAUGAUUAUUGAUUAUUAAUUACUUAUUUUGGUUAAUAUGUUGUAGUUUUCUUGAUAUAAAAUACCUCAUGAAUUAAUUAUUAAGUUCUUAAAUUAUGUUUCUUCACCUUGCGAUUUCUUCUAAAAAUUUGUGUGAUAUUUAAAGAUGCAUAACUAAUUUUCUUGAUAAUCCUAACAAUGCAAUUUCAAAUAAAUAUAGGUCUUUGAAGCAGAAGGUGGAGAAUUCGUGGCUAAAAUAUAGCUAUAGAGAGCAGCACAUAGUAGAAUAGUUGCUUGCAAAAGGAAGGAGUUAGGAAGAAGUUUUUUAUGUAUAUUUUCUUGUUAAUAUGUAUUUUUUUUUUUGUGAAAUCAAUUAUAAUACAUAAAUUAAGAAUUACUUUUGUUAAAACAAUUUAAUCUAGAUUAAUAUGCUGAAGCACUUUAAAUUGAUCCCUCCAUUAAUUAUUGA